This 141-nucleotide non-coding RNA is filed under the name Seinonella peptonophila. RNAcentral's name for it is "FMN sequence". It matches the Rfam family "FMN riboswitch aptamer (RFN element)". Rfam says of the family: The RFN element is a highly conserved domain that is found frequently in the 5'-untranslated regions of prokaryotic mRNAs that encode for flavin mononucleotide (FMN) biosynthesis and transport proteins. This element is a metabolite-dependent riboswitch that directly binds FMN in the absence of proteins. In Bacillus subtilis, the riboswitch most likely controls gene expression by causing premature transcription termination within the 5' untranslated region of the ribDEAHT operon and precluding access to the ribosome-binding site of ypaA mRNA. The record is from Rfam by way of RNAcentral. Lineage: Bacteria; Bacillati; Bacillota; Bacilli; Caryophanales; Thermoactinomycetaceae.
AGCAUCCUUCGGGGCAGGGUGAAACUCCCGACCGGCGGUGAUGGUGAUGGAUCAAUCACCUCAGUCCGUGACCCGCUAAUCGCGGUGGAUUCGGUGCAACUCCGAAGCCGACAGUAAUAGUCUGGAUGGGAGAAGGAUGGU